Molecule: small nucleolar RNA, 139 nt
Organism: Suncus etruscus (white-toothed pygmy shrew)
Lineage: Eukaryota; Metazoa; Chordata; Mammalia; Eulipotyphla; Soricidae
Product: small nucleolar RNA SNORA67
Exons: 1
Source: RefSeq, a predicted model, not a curated record
ACCCAAGAUGAUUCCCUCUCCAAGGGGCCUGCCAGUUUUCCUCCCAGGAAAGUAGCAACUUGGAAGAAAAUGUCGCAUGGCUCAGGCCACUGAGGAGAGGUGUUUUAAUUUCUCUGCCUGCCUGCGACUAACUACAUGC